GGAGGGGCCAAGAGGUCAUCCAGAAACCUUGACGAACAGAAGGGUUCUGCUUCUGCUAUCACUUGUGCAGUGGAUUGUGCAGUGGAUAAAGAUAAGGAACACCGAAUCAAGCGCGGCCUUGACGAAGAGAAGGGUUCUGCUUCUGCUAUCACUUGUGCAGUGAAUAAAUAUAAGGAGCUCCGAAUCAAACGGCUAAGGGAACAGGCUCGUAAGGAAAUUUUGAGGGUUGAAGAGGCUGCUCGAUUGAAAGUCGAGAAUCCUUUACAAGAUCUUCAACAACUCAACUUGUUGUGCACUGGUGGCAUCAAACAGGAUUCUUGUUACAGGGUGUAUCGUUGGUUGACACUUGAGAAGUUGGGCAUCUAUUUGAAGAGGGAUGAACUUGAACAUGUUUAUGAAGAGGAUGAAUUUCACAUUGGAGAUUGGGAAGAAGAUGGAGAACAGAGUCCACAAACAACGAAAUAUUACAUCCACAUAUGGUGGCAUAUCAUCAUCAUCAAGUGAGUAUUUGA
RNAcentral lists this long non-coding RNA (512 nucleotides) under Rosa chinensis. RNAcentral's name for it is "sRNA RchiOBHm_Chr2g0144071". Lineage: Eukaryota; Viridiplantae; Streptophyta; Magnoliopsida; Rosales; Rosaceae. The record is from RNAcentral.